GAUAUGAACUCUCCGAAAAAAUUACGCUGUUAUCCCUAAGGUAAGUUAAUCUUAUAAUCAAAAAUUCUGGAUCAAAAAAACAUAAAUUAAUGAAUAAAAUAUUAAAAGUUAAAUAAAUUUUAAUGUCACCCCAACAAAACUUUAUAUUCUAAAAAAUUGUUUAAUAAACAAAAAACAAUAAUUAAUAAAUAAAGUAAACUUCUAUAGGGUCUUCUCGUCCUAUAAAAAAAUUUUAGCUUUUUAACUAAAAAAUUAAAUUCAAAAUAAUUAAAAAAAGAAAGUUUAUUUUUCAUCAAACCAUUCAUACUAGCCUUCAAUUAAAAGACAAAUGAUUAUGCUACCUUCGUACAGUUAAAAUACCGCAGCCUUUUAAUUCAUAAAAAUCAAUGGGCAGGUCUGAUCUUAAAUUAAAAUCAAAAGACC
This 423-nucleotide ribosomal RNA is filed under the name Gerris lacustris. RNAcentral's name for it is "partial 16S ribosomal RNA". The record is from RNAcentral. Lineage: Eukaryota; Metazoa; Arthropoda; Insecta; Hemiptera; Gerridae.